Molecule: unclassified non-coding RNA, 413 nt
Filed under: soil metagenome
Description: partial contains 5.8S ribosomal RNA, internal transcribed spacer 2, and large subunit ribosomal RNA
Rfam family: 5.8S ribosomal RNA (bases 1-120)
Source: RNAcentral
GAUGAAGAACGCAGCGAAAUGCGAUAAGUAAUGUGAAUUGCAGAAUUCAGUGAAUCAUCGAAUCUUUGAACGCACCUUGCGCUCUUUGGUAUUCCGAAGAGCAUGCCUGUUUGAGUGUCAUGAAAAUAUCAACCUUGACUUGGGUUUUGUGCUCUAGUCUCGGCUUGGAAUUGGGUGCUUGCCGCUUUUACGAGCGGCUCACCUUAAAUGUAUUAGCUGGAUCUGUCUUUGAGACUUGGUUUGACUUGGCGUAAUAAGUAUUUCGCUAAGGACAUUCUUCGGAGUGGCCUCGUUUCUAGGACGCUUGUCCGCUUUCCAAUUCAAGUUCCACCGCGUGGACAUGACUUUUUAUUAUCUGGCCUCAAAUCAGGUAGGACUACCCGCUGAACUUAAGCAUAUCAAUAAGCGGAGGA